AUUGAACGCUGGCGGCAGGCCUAACACAUGCAAGUCGAACGAGUGGCGGACGGGUGAGUAAUGUCUGGGAAACUGCCCGAUGGAGGGGGAUAACUACUGGAAACGGUAGCUAAUACCGCAUACCAUCGGAUGUGCCCCGAUGGGAUUAGCUUGUAGGUGGGGUAACGGCUCCCCUAGGCGACGAUCCCUAGCUGGUCUGAGAGGAUGACCAGCGACACUGGAACGGAGACAGGGUCAAGACUCAUACGGGAGGCAGCAGUGGGGAAUAGUGCACAAGGGGCGCAAGCCUGAUGCAGCCAUGCCGCGUGUGUGAAGAAGGCCGUCGGGGUGUAAAGGACUUUCAGCGGGGAGGCGUUACCCGCAGAAGAAGCACCGGCUAACUCCGUGCCAGCAGCCGCGGUAAUGC
RNAcentral lists this ribosomal RNA (406 nucleotides) under uncultured bacterium. RNAcentral's name for it is "partial 16S ribosomal RNA". It matches the Rfam family "Bacterial small subunit ribosomal RNA", at positions 29 to 526 of the family's 1533-position model. The record is from RNAcentral.